Molecule: small nucleolar RNA, 119 nt
Organism: Dromiciops gliroides (monito del monte)
Lineage: Eukaryota; Metazoa; Chordata; Mammalia; Microbiotheria; Microbiotheriidae
Product: small nucleolar RNA SNORD89
Exons: 1
Source: RefSeq, a predicted model, not a curated record
ACUGAGGAAUGAUGACAGUAAAAGGCCGAAUUGCAGUGCCAUCCCACAAGCAGUUUGCUCUCUAUAUGGAGCACAAUGACAAAGUUUCCAGAAGCGUACUAAACUAGUCUGACCUCAGU